Molecule: ribosomal RNA, 253 nt
Filed under: uncultured bacterium
Lineage: Bacteria
Description: partial 16S ribosomal RNA
Rfam family: Bacterial small subunit ribosomal RNA
Source: RNAcentral
UACGAAGGGGGCAAGCGUUGUUCGGAAUUACUGGGCGUAAAGGGCGCGUAGGCGGCCUGCUAAGUCGAACGUGAAAUCCCCGGGCUCAACCCGGGAACUGCGUCCGAUACUGGCAGGCUUGAAUCCGGGAGAGGGAUGCGGAAUUCCAGGUGUAGCGGUGAAAUGCGUAGAUAUCUGGAGGAACACCGGUGGCGAAGGCGGCAUCCUGGACCGGCAUUGACGCUGAGGCGCGAAAGCCAGGGGAGCAAACGGG